UGGGGAAUAUUGGACAAUGGGCGAAAGCCUGAUCCAGCCAUGCCGCGUGUGUGAAGAAGGUCUUCGGAUUGUAAAGCACUCUAAGUUGGGAGGAAGGGCAGUAAGCUAUACCUUGCUGUUUUGACGUUACCGACAGAAUAAGCACCGGCUAACUUCGUGCCAGCAGCCGCGGUAAUACGAAGGGUGCAAGCGUUAAUCGGAAUUACUGGGCGUAAAGCGCGCGUAGGUGGUUCGUUAAGUUGGAUGUGAAAGCCCCGGGCUCAACCUGGGAACUGCAUCCAAAACUGGCGAGCUAGAGUACGGUAGAGGGUGGUGGAAUUUCCUGUGUAGCGGUGAAAUGCGUAGAUAUAGGAGGAACACCAGUGGCGAAGGCGACCACCUGGACUGAUACUGACACUGAGGUGCGAAAGCGUGGGGAGCAAACAGGACUANAUACCCUGGUAGUCCACGCCGUAAACGUGUCAACUAGCCGUUGGGUUCCUUGAGAGCUU
This 491-nucleotide ribosomal RNA is filed under the name uncultured bacterium. Its description in RNAcentral is "partial 16S ribosomal RNA". It matches the Rfam family "Bacterial small subunit ribosomal RNA", at positions 355 to 841 of the family's 1533-position model. The record is from RNAcentral.